This 386-nucleotide transfer-messenger RNA is filed under the name Corynebacterium yudongzhengii. RNAcentral describes it as "Standard tmRNA". It matches the Rfam family "transfer-messenger RNA". Rfam says of the family: Bacterial tmRNA, also known as 10Sa RNA or SsrA, is named for its dual tRNA and mRNA-like properties. Its role is to liberate the mRNA from a stalled ribosome. To accomplish this part of the tmRNA is used as a reading frame that ends in a translation stop signal. The record is from Rfam by way of RNAcentral. Lineage: Bacteria; Bacillati; Actinomycetota; Actinomycetes; Mycobacteriales; Corynebacteriaceae.
GGGGCUGAUUUAGGUUUCGACUCCGGACAUGAAGCCAGGGGAAGCGUGCCGGUGCAGGCUGGAGACCACCGUAAGCGUCGCAGCAACUUGAUAAGCGCCGAGAAGAACUCUCAGCGUGACUACGCCCUCGCUGCCUAACUUGCAGCGACCGCGUGUCUGUCAGACCGGGCUCGUCACUGGCCCGGACCCUGGCAUCGACUAAAGUGACUUGCCUUCCGGCCGCGUCAGCGGGGCCGGUGGGGACCUCAUACCGCUGACUGGGCCCAUCAUCCGGAACGGAGUCCGACCACGCCGGAGGGCCGAGCAGAGAUCAUCUUCGGACUGCGCACGGAGAAGCCCUGGCGACGUGCUGGAGGACCCGGGUUCAAUUCCCGGCAGCUCCACCA